GGAGAUUUAGAAAAAAGUAUGGGUAAUUCCCCCAUCGAAAUGAUGAAUAGAGAACGAGCAUCUAUACCAGACCUACAAGUUAAAUUCAUUACAAAUAUAGUCCUUCUACUUUUUACUAAUCUUUCUACAUUAUUUCCAAUGGUACAAUCACUUGUUGACAUGCUGAAAGAAAAUCGAGCUUCAUGGGAAGUGUCUAAAAGCACAUUCCAAAAAUUUUUUGAAAGCAGGAACAAAAGGUAUUGCUAUCCUAUUGGAUCCUACUUUUGAGAAAGAAGUAUUACAACUUUAUGCUCGAAGUAGUACAGGUUUCUCAAGAAAUUCUACUAUCAAAUUUGAAUUAAAUCGAACAACAAAUAAUAGUAGGUAUACAAUAAAAUAAAUACACGAUAUUUUUACCAUGAAUAUAAAAGUUUUUAAAAUAUAUAAAUCAUAAGAUUUUUUAAAUUCAAAAGCAAUAUAAAAGGCCUAUUAAUCACUAGAUAU
RNAcentral lists this unclassified non-coding RNA (483 nucleotides) under Bombus terrestris (buff-tailed bumblebee). Its description in RNAcentral is "misc RNA ENSBTSG00005033454.1". Lineage: Eukaryota; Metazoa; Arthropoda; Insecta; Hymenoptera; Apidae. The record is from RNAcentral.